RNAcentral lists this ribosomal RNA (604 nucleotides) under unidentified cyanobacterium OLI-01. RNAcentral describes it as "partial 16S ribosomal RNA". The record is from RNAcentral. Lineage: Bacteria; Bacillati; Cyanobacteriota.
CUUUCGUCCAUGAGUGUCAGUAAUGGCCCAGUCACGCGCUUUCGCCGCUGGUGUUCUUCCCAAUAUCUACGCAUUUCACCGCUACACUGGGAAUUCCCGUGACCCCUACCACCCUCUAGUUCAUCAGUUUCCACCGCCGAUAUGGAGUUAAGCUCCACGCUUUAACAGCAGACUUGACAAACCACCUGCGGACGCUUUACGCCCAAUAAUUCCGGAUAACGCUUGCAUCCCCCGUAUUACCGCGGCUGCUGGCACGGAGUUAGCCGAUGCUGAUUCCUCAGGUACCGUCAGAACUUCUUCCCUGAGAAAAGCGGUUUACAACCCAAAGGCCGUCCUCCCGCACGCGGUAUUGCUCCGUCAGGCUUGCGCCCAUUGCGGAAAAUUCCCCACUGCUGCCUCCCGUAGGAGUCUGGGCCGUGUCUCAGUCCCAGUGUGGCUGAUCAUCCUCUCAGACCAGCUACCGAUCGUCGCCUUGGGGUGCCAUUACCACUCCAACUAGCUAAUCGGACGCGAGCCCUUCCUCAGGCAAUAAAUCUUUCACCUCUCGGCACAUCGGGUAUUAGCAGCCGUUUCCAGCUGUUAUCCCCGUCCUAAGGGUAGGUUC